ACAGUCCGUGCGUGUAGGAGAUGUGCCGCGGUCCCGUUCCUUGAUAAAAAGAAUCUUGGCCAUGGAUGGAGCUGCACAGCCUCAUGAAUUCAUUUUCAUUGAUGAAGCUGGAUUUGACCUGUGCAGAACAAGAUGACGGGGUCGUACUGUAAUUGGCCAAAGGGCAAUUGGGGUAGCGCGGGGGAAAUAUCACAUUGUGUGCCGCCAUAAGCCUUCGAGGGCUUCUGCAUCAUCAUACAAAACUAGGUCCAUACAAUAGCCAACAUAUACUCACAUUUCUAAAUGCUCUCCAUGAUAUAGUUGUACAGAACAGAGCAGAUCAGCCCAUGUUUGUAGUGAUAUGGGAUAAUGUCAGUUUCCAUCGGGCUGCUCUGGUCCAGGCCUGGUUCUCCAACCACAACCAACUUGAAGUGGUAUACUUGCCCCCUUACUCACCAUUUUUAAACCCUAUAGAGGAAUUUUUUUUGGCUUGGAGAUGGCGUGUAUAUGACCGCCAACCACAUGCCCGCAUGCCUCUUCUGCAGGCAAUGGAACAGGCCUGCGGCGACAUUCAGGUGACAGCAAUCCAUGGAUGGUUUCGACAUGCAAGAGGAUAUUUUCCCCGGUGCCUAGCAGGAGAAGACAUUGCUUGCGAUGUCGAUGAGGUCCUGUGGCCAGACCCCAAAAGACGGCGGGAUCCAUGAGCCCACGUAUGCACAAUUGUCAUGAUUUUUUGUGUUCACAGUAUGGUGUUUUUUCUAUUACUGUAUUGUGUUUGUUUGUUUGUUUUUGCUUUAUCUGAAUUCAUGGUACUGCAAUGUACAGUGCUGCAAUGUACAAUAUUGAGUCCUAUUGGCUUUUUUGGUUGUUUGAAAAUGUGUCUCCUGAAAAUAUGCCUUCUGAAUAAACAAUGAACAUCAAA
Long non-coding RNA from Astatotilapia calliptera (eastern happy), 901 nucleotides. The record is from Ensembl. Lineage: Eukaryota; Metazoa; Chordata; Actinopteri; Cichliformes; Cichlidae.